This 301-nucleotide ribosomal RNA is filed under the name uncultured bacterium. RNAcentral describes it as "partial 16S ribosomal RNA". It matches the Rfam family "Bacterial small subunit ribosomal RNA", at positions 509 to 808 of the family's 1533-position model. The record is from RNAcentral.
CAGUAGCCGCGGUAAUACGUAGGUGGCAAGCGUCGUCCGGAAUUAUUGGGCGUAAAGGGCUCGCAGGCGGUUUCUUAAGUCUGAUGUGAAAGCCCCCGGCUCAACCGGGGAGGGUCAUUGGAAACUGGGAAACUUGAGUGCAGAAGAGGAGAGUGGAAUUCCACGUGUAGCGGUGAAAUGCGUAGAGAUGUGGAGGAACACCAGUGGCGAAGGCGACUCUCUGGUCUGUAACUGACGCUGAGGAGCGAAAGCGUGGGGAGCGAACACGAUUAGAUACCCCUGUAGUCCCUGUCUCUAUACA